GCUGGACGUGGUGGUGUAUGCCUCUAAUCCCAGCUAUCCAGGAAUCUUAGGCUAGAGGAUUCCUUGAGCUCGGGACAUCUGAGCAGCAGGGGGCUAGGCUCAUAAAAUGGCCACACUGCAUUCAGCAUUAAUAUAGUAAGUGCAUGGUAGCAAGGGGUCACCAGGUUGCCUAAGGAGAAGUGAAUUUGCCCAGGCUGGAAAAGCAGCAGGUCAAAAUAAAAUCCCCUUGCUGAUCAACAACAGGAAUAGGCUUGUGAUUAGUCUCUGCCAUUCCAGCCUGGGCAAGGUAGAGAAGCUGAAUCUCA
RNAcentral lists this signal recognition particle RNA (305 nucleotides) under Phascolarctos cinereus (koala). RNAcentral describes it as "Metazoan signal recognition particle RNA (ENSPCIG00000013884.2)". It matches the Rfam family "Metazoan signal recognition particle RNA". Rfam says of the family: The signal recognition particle (SRP) is a universally conserved ribonucleoprotein. It is involved in the co-translational targeting of proteins to membranes. The record is from RNAcentral. Lineage: Eukaryota; Metazoa; Chordata; Mammalia; Diprotodontia; Phascolarctidae.